Long non-coding RNA from Microtus oregoni (creeping vole), 1275 nucleotides. RefSeq lists it as uncharacterized. Lineage: Eukaryota; Metazoa; Chordata; Mammalia; Rodentia; Cricetidae. The record is from RefSeq and is a predicted model, not a curated record. The transcript is spliced from 8 exons.
ACACACGCUGUAACGGCGGCUGGCUACGAUCUCGCAGAGAUCUGCCUGCCUUUGUUUUGAUUAAAGGCGUGAACCACCACGCGUGGCUUUUCAUUAAGAAGCAAGUAUUUCUGACGGUUUUUGUUGCUUUAAGAGGCCGCGUGAACAUAGCGCUUCCCAGACGUGAUUCUGUGUAACGUCGGUAACUGGAGCAGGGAGGUUAAUUACGUUUAGGGGUCUUCAGGACCUCGAAGCAGGAGGACUUUGUGAAGGACAAAAUGGUGGCGGCGGUGCAGGGCCAUCCCCGAUGAUGAUUUCCUUUUCACAGACCUGUACUGAUUUCCAUGAGGAUAAGUAAUUCUGAGGAGGCUGGCCCAGUACCUAAAGUCUUUUGCCCCCACCCAGAUUUCUCUUAAACGGAGGUGUAGAAAUAACCAAAUGCCAAUUCGUUCCAGAUUUGGGAUGAUUGCAUACGGAAACAUGGAAGUACGCGUCCUUUUUAAGAAAAUGGUUGAUGAAAGCGGAGUUUACGCUUUGGAAGCAGGCUAGAUGGACCUUACAACUAAGACGUUUUGCUGGCAGUUGAGCAUCCUGUAGCAAUAUUCUGAGGAAUGCAGAUGAUCUCCCAGGAUGAUUACAGGUUGUCCUGAUGGCUUGUCUAAAGGAGAAGAUAAUUCCUGUAUGUCACCAAUCACCAGCAUUCAGAGGUUCUGUUAGCAGUGGCAUCUUUGCUGGUUCAGAGAUCUGGUGUCUGCCCUAGAGCUGAGGAACCAACUUUGCCAGGAAAGUUGAGCACAUCUUCACUCUGCUGGAAUGAGGUGAGAAAGCAUGGGUGUGUAAGGUGUACUGUGAACUAGUCUCCUCCCUAUGAAGAAACUUUCACAUGUCUUACUUCCUGUCCUAGCGCCAGAGCCUGAAAAGGUGAACCCACUGGGGCUGGCUGGGGGAAAAGAGGAAGAUUUGUUCCAGAAGGAACUGUCUGAGGGAUUGAGUUUUUAUAGAGAGGAAAGAAUUGUCAAGUGAUAAGAGAUAAAAGGUGGCUUGUCUUCCCAGGUCUGAAGAAAGGAGGAGCUUGUGAAUGGUAAGUAUGGUAUUGAAUAUGGGCAGGUGGGAGUUUUGGUUAGGCAAGGGGUAUCUGGAAGGCAGAGGAUUGUCCAUGUGGAUGCAUUUGGCAUGCUACAUUAACUUAAUUAAAACUUUUACAGGAAUGCAGAUCUCCAAGAACAAAGAUCUCUAUUUCCUCGAUAAUUUGGAGUUGUGUGUCAUCAUUCUCUUAAUAAAAUUGUUUCUUUGCAA